AGUGCAAAAAUACAAUUUUUUGUUAAAGUGAACAAUACUGCAGAUUUUUCGUUAAAAUUCCCUUAAAAAAAAAAAAAAAAAGGGAAAGAAUCAUACUAAAAAAAAAAAAAAAAAAAAACUCCAAAAUUUGGAGUCUAAAUAGGUUCUCUCUCCCGUAAAGGCGGGAAGUACGUCCUCGCUCCCUCCAUAAUUUUCUUUUCUUUUUUUUUUUUACCCCUUGUUUCUCAAUUUAAGUUCACGAUUCCGUUACACACUCAAACUCUACCAGUCUUUCUCCCCACAUCCCUACAAAACCUCCAAUUUCAAUUUCACUACCCAAUUCCAAAUUCCCAAAUUCCCAAUUCCCAAUCCAAUCCAUGGACGAUUCAGUUCAGAACGAGCCGCCGGAGACGCCUAAACAGCAAGUUGUUCGCCGGAAACUGGUCCAGACCACAUUGUUCCCUCUCAAACCCCAGCAACAGCUCCAGGUAAACGGCGAUCUGAAGGCCGAGAGAUGGAAUGCUGGUGACGACGAGGGCAGCAACAACGAGGACUUCUGUGGGAGUCAAAGCAAGACGAAAAGGAAUUCAAAGGGAAAUAAGACGCCUCCGAUUAAAGCCCCUAAGAAGAACGGUAAGCGAUCGGAGAAUAGUACACCGAAGAGGAAGAAGAACGGAACUGAAGUGAAGAGUGAAGAUGCACCUCGAGUUAUCAAUGAUUUCAGGCUAGAGGCUAGAUUGAAAGCUGAGGAAAUGUCACGGGUAUUUUCAGGAAUGUUUUCUGGAAAGCACAUACAUCCAUUUUUCUCAAUUUGUAAAGCCGGAAAGUGAAGACGAAAGGCAACUGAAUUUGAUGGCGAUUUGAGCUUCAUUGGGAGCAAGGAUGAAGAGAUAACUAGUGGUCCAAUUCAUGUGUUUGAAAGGACUCAGAUCAGUGGCAAAUUCUAAGGGUUCACAGAACAAGUCUAGUGAAAUCCCUGUUUGUCGAUGCAAAUGAUGUGACAGACCAUGAGAUGGACGAUGAUUCCUGUUUGUUGAUGGCCAUAUCAGAUGAAGAUUCUCAUGAGGCAAUUGAAACCUCUGUAAAAUCUGACUCUUAAGGACAAUCAUAACAAAGUUAAAUAUCUGGUACUUUUUGACAAUGUGGACAUCAUAUUUCUUGAAGAUCGUGGUUUCAUUGCAGCAAUUCAGCAGAUAGCUAAAACAGCCAAGGGGUCCAUAAUACUGACUAGCAAUAGUGAAAAUCCUGUCCUGCCAGACAGUUUUGAUAGAUUACAAGUACGUUUCAUGUUGCCAUCACCAAAGGAGCUGCAUUCUCAUGUGUAUAUGAUACCAAAAUGCAAGAGUCGUAUGGUUUCCUGCUAUUUGAUGUUGAGGCUGGCCAUCUGAUACUGCCAAAUAUAUUACCAUGGGAUUUACCCUCUCAGUUAUCUGAUCUAGUAGAGAAAGAGAUAACAAAGGCAUUAUUCAGGAUGGAAGAAAGUCCAAGCUCGACGGAGGUAAUUGAAGAAAACCUUCACGAGAUAGAAGUGCAAUACAGGUUGGACAUGCCUUGUAAUGGAAUGGAAAGUUUAGAGGCCAAGAAGGUAGAAAUGCUGAGCAGGAAUGGCUCUCUUCAUGACUGCAGUCAAUAUAAAGCUCAAACUGAUAUUGCUUCUGAGUCUUCCAACGAUUUAGGUGCCCCUUUUCCCUCAUGUCGGCGAAAUGUUCGGAGUAUGCAUGCUGUUGUAAUGUCUGAUUCUGAAGACGAGUUUAUGACCAAUGGAUAUCCUACAGUUACAGAUAACAAUGAAGUCCUUGGAGUUAAGCCAUUAGCUGUGGAGUUACCUAGUUUUGGAGCAGCUAAUAUAGAUGGAUCUUGUGAAUGUUCAGAAACUGCAGAUGAGAUGCACAUAAGUGAGACUUGCUACUCAGUUGGUAUAUCAUGUGUACCAGAAUCUUCUUUUCUUCCUGAAACUCAAAUUGACAAUAUGCCAGAGUUAUCAUCUCAAACAAUGUCUUCUGACCAUGUUCCCAACGCCAUUAAAAGAGUAUCUUUAGGUGAUGAAUAACGUGGUGAAGCCAACAAUCUUAAUAAACUAAUAUUAGCACAGGCAAACUCUGAUAAGUGGGGAAGUAAUUGUGCCACAAAUGCAGAGUAUUCUAACCAGGAGUUGGAUAAUUCUCCAAAGGAACAAGUGGAGACUGUUGCAAGUGCUUAUCAGUUGAUGGAGAGUGUAGCCGCGUGGACUUUAAUAAGGGCUCCCAGUUUAUACAGGGGCAAAAGUCCUCAGUUGUGAGUCCAGAUUUAGUACAAGAUUCAUGGGACAACCUUGAUGGCUACCACAUUGAUCUUAGGCAGUAUGUUGCAUCCGAACAACCCAAUGCCUCUUUGAUUGUCAUGCUUGCUGAUCGAAUGAGCAGAAUUUGAUAUCAGAAACUGACAUGUUUUCUAAAAGCCAAUCACUGAUAAGUGAUUCUUUGGAACCAUCAGUGAUCCCCUUGGAGGAGUCAGAUGCAUACAGCUGGUGUGAUAAGCGAUUAUUGUUGGUGUCCACAAUAGGGCAGCAUGGGUUUUGCUUCUAUGCAAAACGCAUUUUUUUUCUGUAGGAUCAAAAAAAGGUUGUGUAGGGAGGGUGGAUUUGGAUGGGGAGAUGCUGGCUAACACACCCAGUAUGAUGGCAUUUGGUAAGCUAAUUGGGUGGGGUAUGAGAGCAAGUAUGGCUUCAUCUGCCAGAAGAAAUUCAGAGACGUCCCUGCCAAAUGCUACAAGUGAAAUCCAGUCACAUGUAUUUGAUGUAAUUCAGUCAAUUGUACCUUCAAGAACGUGCUCAAAUUUGAGAGGUGGUGCACACCAUGAGUACCUUUCUUCUCUGCACCACAUUUCCACAUCAGAAGCUUCUCAUUUAUCAGAAGGAGCUGAUAAGACCAUCAGAAGGAGGAGUAGCACUUUAUACGUUAUUUCCAGUACUCAAAUGUAUGCUGUUAUCUCCUAUCUGACCUCCCCGGUCUCUGAUGAUGAGAUAAAAGGCAGCGGCACAACAAAUGGGAGGGUUAAAGGCCCGGGUCUUGACGGCUUCAAAGGAAAUUUCUACCACUCUUUCUGGGAUACUAUUGUGGAGGAAGUGAAUGGUUUGAUUUGUGACCUCAUGAACGACACUAACAGGCAGUUUCUUACAUGACAUGGUGACAUGACACAAAAAUGACAAAAAUAACGGGUUUUGGGUCAACACGAUAAUUAAUCGGGUCAUUAUCGGGUGACUUGUUAAUAAUGGGUUCUUAACGAGUAUACACACUGGUAACACAUGAGUAAUCUGUUUUGACCCGUUAAGAAAAAUAUAUUAUAAUUUUAAAGUUUAAUUACUAAAUUUUUUUAUUAUAAAAUACAAUAGCCAUAUUGUAUAUAUUGAUAUAUU
Pyrus x bretschneideri (Chinese white pear) is the source of this 3373-nucleotide long non-coding RNA. RefSeq lists it as uncharacterized. The record is from RefSeq and is a predicted model, not a curated record. The transcript has 9 exons. Lineage: Eukaryota; Viridiplantae; Streptophyta; Magnoliopsida; Rosales; Rosaceae.